GACGAACGCUGGCGGCGCGCCUAACACAUGCAAGUCGAACGAGAGAUGAGGAGCUUGCUCUUCAAAUCGAGUGGCGAACGGGUGAGUAACGCGUGAGGAACCUGCCUCAAAGAGGGGGACAACAGUUGGAAACGACUGCUAAUACCGCAUAAGCCCACGGCUCGGCAUCGAGCAGAGGGAAAAGGAGCAAUCCGCUUUGAGAUGGCCUCGCGUCCGAUUAGCUAGUUGGUGAGGUAAUGGCCCACCAAGGCGACGAUCGGUAGCCGGACUGAGAGGUUGAACGGCCACAUUGGGACUGAGACACGGCCCAGACUCCUACGGGAGGCAGCAGUGGGGAA
This 338-nucleotide ribosomal RNA is filed under the name uncultured bacterium. RNAcentral describes it as "bacterial SSU rRNA". It matches the Rfam family "Bacterial small subunit ribosomal RNA", at positions 28 to 361 of the family's 1533-position model. The record is from RNAcentral.